This 232-nucleotide ribosomal RNA is filed under the name uncultured Enterobacterales bacterium. RNAcentral describes it as "partial 16S ribosomal RNA". It matches the Rfam family "Bacterial small subunit ribosomal RNA", at positions 99 to 334 of the family's 1533-position model. Lineage: Bacteria; Pseudomonadati; Pseudomonadota; Gammaproteobacteria; Enterobacterales. The record is from RNAcentral.
CGGACGGGUGAGUAAUGUCUGGGAAACUGCCUGAUGGAGGGGGAUAACUACUGGAAACGGUAGCUAAUACCGCAUAACGUAGCAAGACCAAAGAGGGGGACCUUCGGGCCUCUUGCCAUCAGAUGUGCCCAGAUGGGAUUAGCUAGUAGGUGGGGUAACGGCUCACCUAGGCGACGAUCCCUAGCUGGUCUGAGAGGAUGACCAGCCACACUGGAACUGAGACACGGUCCAG